CCUACGGGUGGCAGCAGUGGGGAAUAUUGGACAAUGGGCGAAAGCCUGAUCCAGCCAUGCCGCGUGUGUGAAGAAGGCCUUCGGGUUGUAAAGCACUUUCAGUGGGGAAGAAAGCCUUGGGGCUAAUACCCUCGAGGAAGGACAUCACCCACAGAAGAAGCACCGGCUAACUCCGUGCCAGCAGCCGCGGUAAUACGGAGGGUGCGAGCGUUAAUCGGAAUUACUGGGCGUAAGCGCGCGUAGGCGGUCUGAUAAGCCGGUUGUGAAAGCCCCGGGCUCAACCUGGGAACGGCAUCCGGAACUGUCAGGCUAGAGUGCAGGAGAGGAAGGUAGAAUUCCCGGUGUAGCGGUGAAAUGCGUAGAGAGCGGGAGGAAUACCAGUGGCGAAGGCGGCCUUCUGGACUGACACUGACGCUGAGGUGCGAAAGCGUGGGUAGCAAACAGGAUUAGAUACCCUGGUAGUC
Molecule: ribosomal RNA, 464 nt
Filed under: Vreelandella stevensii
Lineage: Bacteria; Pseudomonadati; Pseudomonadota; Gammaproteobacteria; Oceanospirillales; Halomonadaceae
Description: partial 16S ribosomal RNA
Rfam family: Bacterial small subunit ribosomal RNA
Source: RNAcentral